GGUACCAGGGCUGAACCUCUUGACCCGUUUGCUCUCUCACUGUCUCUGCUCCAUCAGACUCAUUGUGGGUCUUCAAACUAAAACAUCUACAAAAGAUCAUCGUAGAGGUCGGGUAGCCGCCAUGAGAUGAACACGUCACUAGCCAAUGGGUUUCAUCCUGAUGGAGCACUGUGUAUGCCGGCACACUGAAGUUUGCUAGGAGUGAGAGAAAGAGGGAAGAAGCGCACUUUCAGAGAAACCUCAAGAAUGUCAAGGUUUCCCAAAGUAGCCCUGUUGAAUGCAAGCACCAUGAAGUGUGUAUUUCCCAAAGAGUCCUCGGUAGUGAAAACACAAACUCACAAACAAGUAAUUGAAACAUAUAUAAACAAAUAUGCUGAUGA
Long non-coding RNA from Notolabrus celidotus (New Zealand spotty), 380 nucleotides. RefSeq lists it as uncharacterized. The transcript is spliced from 2 exons. The record is from RefSeq and is a predicted model, not a curated record. Lineage: Eukaryota; Metazoa; Chordata; Actinopteri; Labriformes; Labridae.